CACGGAGUUAGCCGGUGCUUAUUCAUUUGGUACCUUCAGCUCUCUACACGUAAAGAGGUUUAUUCCCAAAUAAAAGCAGUUUACAAUCCAUAGGACCGUCUUCCUGCACGCGGCAUGGCUGGUUCAGGCUUGCGCCCAUUGACCAAUAUUCCUCACUGCUGCCUCCCGUAGGAGUCUGGUCCGUGUCUCAGUACCAGUGUGGGGGACCACCCUCUCAGGCCCCCUACCCAUCGUCGCCCAUGGUGAGCCGUUACCUCACCAUCUAGCUAAUGGGACGCAUGCCCAUCUUAUACCGUAACCUUUAAUUAUCAAAACAUGCGAAUCGAUAAUACUAUGGGGGAUUAAUCCGAAUUUCUCCGGGCUAUACCCCAGUAUAAGGUAGGUUGCAUACGCGUUACGCACCCGUGCGCCGUCGCCACCAAUUAAGCAAGCUCAAUCGUGCUGCCCCUUGACUUGCAUGUGUUAGGCCUGCCGCUAGCGUUUCAUCCUGAGCCAGGAUCAAAA
Molecule: ribosomal RNA, 504 nt
Filed under: uncultured Fluviicola sp.
Lineage: Bacteria; Pseudomonadati; Bacteroidota; Flavobacteriia; Flavobacteriales; Crocinitomicaceae
Description: partial 16S ribosomal RNA
Source: RNAcentral